UAGAAAUUCCGGUUGAUUCUGCCGGAGACUACUGCUAUUAGGAUCCGAUUAAGCCAUGCUAGCGGAGGGCAGUUUGGCUGCCCCGCGAACAGCUCAGUAACACGUAGUUAACCUACCCUUAAGACGGGGAUAACCCCGGGAAACUGGGGAUAAUACCCGAUAGGCGGGAGUUCUGGAAAAUGUCUCUCGCCGAAAAGCUCCGGCGCUUAAGGAUGGAACUGCGGCCCAUCAGGUAGAUGGUGGGGUAAAGGCCCACCAUGCCGAUAACGGGUAUGGGCCCUGAGAGGGGGAGCCCGGAGAUGGGGACUGAGACAAGGCCCCAGGCCCUACGGGGCGCAGCAGGCGCGAAACCUUCGCAAUGCGUGCAAGCGCGACGAGGGGAUCCUAAGUGCCGGUGGUCUAACGACCGUCGGCUUUUCAGAAGUGUAAGAAGCUUCUGGAACAAGGGCCGGGUAAGACUGGUGCCAGCCGCCGCGGUAAUACCAGCGGCUCGAGUGGUAGUCAAUUUUAUUGGGCCUAAAGCAUCUGUAGCCGGACCGGCAAGUUCCUUGUGAAAUCGGGCGGCUCAACCGUUCGGCUUGCAGGGAAAACUGCUGGUCUUGGGGCCGGGAGACGCUGAGGGUACUCCGGGGGUAGCGGUGAAAUGCUGUAAUCCUCGGGGGACCGCCGGUGGCGAAGGCGCUCAGCGAGAACGGACCCGACGGUGAGAGAUGAAGGCCAGGGGAGCGAACCGGAUUAGAUACCCGGGUAGUCCUGGCUGUAAAGUAUGCGGGCUAGGUGUGAGGCGUCCCUCGAGGGCGCUUUGGGCCGUAGGGAAGCCGUUAAGCCCGCCGCCUGGGAAGUAUGGUCGCAAGGCUGAAACUUAAAGAAAUUGGCGGGGGGGCACCACAAGGGGUGGAGCCUGCGGUUUAAUUGGAUUCAACGCCGGACAACUCACCGGGGGCGACGGCCGGUUGAAGGCCAAGCUGACGACUUUGCCGGACUAGCCGAGAGGUGGUGCAUGGCCGCCGGCAGCUCGUACUGUGAAGCGUCCUGUCAAGUCAGGUAACGAGCGAGACCCUCACCCCUAGUUGCCAUCAGAUCUUCCUUUGGAAGAUGCUGGGCACUUUAGAGGGACCGCUGUCGAUAAGGCAGAGGAAGGAGAGGGCGACGGUAGGUCCGUAUGCCCCGAAUCCCCCGGGCUACACGCGGGCUACAAUGCGCAGGACAGAGGGAUGCGACCUCGAGAGGGGAAGCCAAACCCUAAACCUGUGCCUAGUUCGGAUCGAGGGCUGAAACUCGCCCUCGUGAAGCUGGAAUCCCUAGUAAUCGCGUGCCACCAUCGCGCGGUGAAUACGUCCCUGCUCCUUGCACACACCGCCCGUCAAGUCACUCGAGUGGGAUUUGGAUGAGGCUUGUCGAAUUUGGGCAAGUCAAAUCCGGGUUCUGCAAGAGGGACUAAGUCGUAACAAGGUAGCCGUAGGGGAAUCUGCGGCUCGAUCACCUCCUU
Molecule: ribosomal RNA, 1489 nt
Filed under: candidate division MSBL1 archaeon SCGC-AAA385D11
Lineage: Archaea; Methanobacteriati; Methanobacteriota
Description: bacterial SSU rRNA
Rfam family: Archaeal small subunit ribosomal RNA
Source: RNAcentral